CGGGGCUAAUACCGAAUAUGACCUUUGACCGCAUGGUUUUUGGUGGAAAGUUUUUCGGCUUGGGAUGGGCUCGCGGCCUAUCAGCUUGUUGGUGGGGUGAUGGCCUACCAAGGCGACGACGGGUAGCCGGCCUGAGAGGGCGACCGGCCACACUGGGACUGAGACACGGCCCAGACUCCUACGGGAGGCAGCAGUGGGGAAUAUUGCACAAUGGGCGGAAGCCUGAUGCAGCGACGCCGCGUGAGGGAUGACGGCCUUCGGGUUGUAAACCUCUUUCAGCAGGGACGAAGCGUAAGUGACGGUACCUGCAGAAGAAGCGCCGGCCAACUACGUGCCAGCAGCCGCGGUAAGACGUAGGGCGCGAGCGUUGUCCGGAUUUAUUGGGCGUAAAGAGCUCGUAGGCGGCUUGUCGCGUCGACCGUGAAAACUUGGGGCUCAACCCCAAGCCUGCGGUCGAUACGGGCAGGCUAGAGUUCGGUAGGGGAGACUGGAAUUCCUGGUGUAGCGGUGAAAUGCGCAGAUAUCAGGAGGAACACCGGUGGC
RNAcentral lists this ribosomal RNA (543 nucleotides) under Micromonospora sp. RNAcentral describes it as "bacterial SSU rRNA". It matches the Rfam family "Bacterial small subunit ribosomal RNA", at positions 158 to 716 of the family's 1533-position model. The record is from RNAcentral. Lineage: Bacteria; Bacillati; Actinomycetota; Actinomycetes; Micromonosporales; Micromonosporaceae.